RNAcentral lists this long non-coding RNA (1478 nucleotides) under Anser brachyrhynchus (Pink-footed goose). RNAcentral describes it as "lncRNA (ENSABRG00000010915.1)". The record is from RNAcentral. Lineage: Eukaryota; Metazoa; Chordata; Aves; Anseriformes; Anatidae.
CUUUGAAAUCUGCUACCCGCUGGGUAGAUCAAGAAUAUUUGCAAAUCAGAUUGUGUUGUCUACCUGUGGUUGGUUAGCCCUUCCUGCCCUCUCCUAUGCAUGAAUCCCAAACAUCAGCGAGAGAUUGCAGUUCUGUUACACGGGGCAAGCGGGAGAGGAGAGCUGCUGGCCAUUGAUGGAUGGACUGGAAGAGACGGGAACAGUUGGCACAAUGAAGAUGACAGUCCCAGGCUAAGACUAUUGUACAAAGCUUCAGAAGUCCUGAGGAUACACUGACGGGGAGUUUACAUCUGAAAAUGGAUAGAAUCCCUGCAACUUGUUCCUUCCCAAUUCUUCCUUUCUCAGCAUCCCUCUUUUUCAUCUUGUGCCUGGAAUUGAACAAACCAAAUCCAAAGAGGUUUUUGGAACAUUCCUAAAUCAGGGAUACUGUGAAGACAAAUGGUAAAUGUCUGUUACCCCAGCUGCUAAGUUAAUUACUGUAAUGGGAAACAUCUUGAGAGAAGCAUUGCAUAUGGUUAUUAGCAAUUAACCCACCACUCCAAAAAUCACAAUUCCUGCUAAUAACAGAACACAGCGCAGCCUUUCUAAUUACAAUCUCUGCACGAGAAUUUCUUUCUAUCAGAAGGGAAUGUUAAAUCCUCUAACUAGCUACGAUUUAAAAAGACUUGGAGAUACUGAGAAUUAGACAGAAAAAUGAAAAUGCGGACGGGUGGUGUGUCACUGACUCAGAGUUGUAGACAUGCUCAUUCAUAUGUGGAGACACACAGCAACUUUCACAACAUGUUGUGGGAAGACAAAAUCAUCAAUGAUUGUUCAUGGGGAGGGAAAUAUGCUUUAAAAUGAAGAGGAUAGUAUGAGACUUCACGAGAGAUGCCAACUUCUCUACAGAAUUUGUGAUCUCAGUGGUGUUGUAAACAAUAUGCUGAGUUUGGUAGUGCAUAGCAAAGGAUCGCUCUGGAAACGGUAAGAAUUUUCUGGUCAAUCAAAGAGGAGAACAAUGCAAACUACGUAUUUUCCAUCCUGCAGAAAGUCCGUCAGUACUACACGGAGGGCACGAGGUGUUCUUUUUCUGACAGUCUGUAUUCUGUGCAAUUGGCUUAGAUUAUAGCUCACCUGCACAAAGUCACCAAGGGGAAUCGACACUUUAGCUGCUCAGUUCAAAAGCUGGUUUAGCAGAGCAAGAUGGGAUUUAAUUUAUUCCUUUCACCAGGCAGGAAGAGAAAUCUUUUGUCAACAUGUUCAGUGCUCAGUUUGGUGGUGGGCAUGAUACAGUUUGUAGGUAUCAAGAUCAAAGAUAUGCAAUUGUAUGGCAAAUAAGUUUCAUGACAGUAACCGUGUCUGGUUGGUCACGGCAGGGACGUGUAAUAUAAAGGAGUCACUAAUGCUGUAUCCACUGCCAUUUUGUUCCUGACAUUUCCUGCUGCUACCACUGUAAGAACUAGAAUAAAUGAGUCUGCUUUUACCUCCGUAUUGUCUGU